CCUACGGGAGGCAGCAGUCGAGAAUCAUUCACAAUGGGGGAAACCCUGAUGGUGCGACGCCGCGUGGGGGAAUGAAGGUCUUCGGAUUGUAAACCCCUGUCAUGUGGGAGCAAAUUAAAAAGAUAGUACCACAAGAGGAAGAGACGGCUAACUCUGUGCCAGCAGCCGCGGUAAUACAGAGGUCUCAAGCGUUGUUCGGAAUCACGGGGCGUAAAGCGUGCGUAGGCUGGUUCGUCAGUCGUGUGGGAAUGGCGCGGACUCAACCCGCGGACGGCACAUGAUACUGCGAGACUAGAGUAAUGGAGGGGGAACCGGAAUUCUCGGUGUAGCAGUGAAAUGCGUAGAUAGCGAGAGGAACACUCGUGGCGAAGGCGGGUUCCUGGACAUUAACUGACGCUGAGGCACGAAGGCCAGGGGAGCGAAAGGGAUUAGAUACCCGAGUAGUC
This 446-nucleotide ribosomal RNA is filed under the name uncultured bacterium. Its description in RNAcentral is "partial 16S ribosomal RNA". It matches the Rfam family "Bacterial small subunit ribosomal RNA", at positions 338 to 795 of the family's 1533-position model. The record is from RNAcentral.